GACGAACGCUGGCGGCGUGCUUAACACAUGCAAGUCGAGCGGUAAGGCCCUUUCGGGGGUACACGAGCGGCGAACGGGUGAGUAACACGUGGGUGACCUGCCCUCAGCUCUGGGAUAAGCCCGGGAAACUAGGGUCUAAUACCGGAUAUGACUCCAUGACGCAUGUUGUGGGGUGGAAAGCCUUGUGCGGCUGAGGAUCGGGCCCGCGCUAUCAGCUUGUUGGUGGGGUGAUGGCCUACCAAGGCGACGACGGGUAGCCGGCCUGAGGGGGCGACCGGCCACACUGGGACUGAGAGACGGCCCAGACUCCUACGGGAGGCAGCAGUGGGGAAUCUUGCGCAAUGGGCGAAAGCCUGACGCAGCGACGCCGCGUGAGGGAU
Molecule: ribosomal RNA, 380 nt
Filed under: uncultured bacterium
Lineage: Bacteria
Description: bacterial SSU rRNA
Rfam family: Bacterial small subunit ribosomal RNA
Source: RNAcentral